Molecule: ribosomal RNA, 399 nt
Filed under: Protagonista lugubris
Lineage: Eukaryota; Metazoa; Arthropoda; Insecta; Blattodea; Blattidae
Description: partial 12S ribosomal RNA
Source: RNAcentral
UAUUAUUUUUGAUAUAAAUUAUUUUUAACUUAGGUAGUAUUAGUUAAGGUCUUGAAACUUAAAGAAUUUGGCGGUAUUUUAGUCUUUUUAGAGGAAUCUGUUCCUUAAUCGAUAAUCCACGUUGAACCUUACCAGUUUUAAUUUAGUAUGUAUACCGCCGUUAUAAUGAAAAUCUUUUUAGAGUUUAAUAAUUUUCUUAAUUUCUUUUAAAAAUUAUUUCAGGUCAAGGUGCAGCUUAUGAUUUGGUGGAAAUGGAUUACAUUUAUUUUGUUAACUGGAAUAUUAAUUGAAAUUUUAGUAUAAAAUUGGAUUUAAUUGUAAUUUUUUGUAGAUUAUAUAAAUGGCUUUAGCUCUAUAAUAUGUACACAUCGCCCGUCACUCUCAUUAUUUGUAGUUGAG